AGCGAACGCUGGCGGCAGGCUUAACACAUGCAAGUCGAGCGGGCAUCCUUGUGGUGUCAGCGGCAGACGGGUGAGUAACGCGUGGGAACGUGCCCUUCGGUUCGGAAUAACUCAGGGAAACUUGAGCUAAUACCGGAUACGUGCGAGAGCAGAAAGGUUUAUCUGCCGAAGGAUCGGCCCGCGUCUGAUUAGCUAGUUGGUGAGGUUAUGGCUCACCAAGGCGACGAUCAGUAGCUGGUCUGAGAGGAUGAUCAGCCACACUGGGACUGAGACACGGCCCAGACUCCUACGGGAGGCAGCAGUAGGGAAUAUUGGACAAUGGGGGCAACCCUGAUCCAGCCAUGCCGCGUGAGUGAUGACGGCCUUAGGGUUGUAAAGCUCUUUUCUCCGGGACGAUAAUGACGGUACCGGAGGAAUAAGCCCCGGCUAACUUCGUG
RNAcentral lists this ribosomal RNA (437 nucleotides) under uncultured bacterium. Its description in RNAcentral is "partial 16S ribosomal RNA". It matches the Rfam family "Bacterial small subunit ribosomal RNA", at positions 29 to 507 of the family's 1533-position model. The record is from RNAcentral.